Molecule: long non-coding RNA, 645 nt
Organism: Vombatus ursinus (common wombat)
Lineage: Eukaryota; Metazoa; Chordata; Mammalia; Diprotodontia; Vombatidae
Exons: 4
Source: RefSeq, a predicted model, not a curated record
AUAAAAAGAAAAGAAAGAAAGUCUAGGUUUUAUAAUAAUAAUAGCUGCAGAACAGAAAAUAUCUUGGUAUACACAGGCAGCAUUUUUGGUCAAAUUAAAAGCAAUGCAUUUCAAGAGGAUAUUAAGGAAAGAUGGGAAAAUGUAGCAGAAAUUCAGGUCUCUAGAAUCUGGAGAUAUUCCUCUGAGAAGAACUGCACCUCAGAAAUAAUAAGUGAAACCAAAAAUAUAACAGAGCAAAUAGCUCAUGGAACAUUUCAGCUGAAGCAAGAUUUUUAGCUGCUGAUACCUACCCAUUCCAGCACCCUUUAAACCGAUUCCUGUCUUCCUUUAAUGUUCUAUGCAUAAGGAGUCCUGGGCUUCCAUGAAGAGAGUGUAUGCCUCACUUUCAAACUACAUAUGCCAGCUGACCAAGGUAGAAGAGUCACUCUAUGAUUUAGAAAAAUGCUGAAACAUUCAAGAAUUCUGCUUAUGAAGUGUUCCCGCUUACUCUUCCUGGUACAAUAUUUGCAUUGAAGUGCGUUUUUGUAGGACGAUGCCUAUGAUUGUGGGAGGUACCACCGGGUGUACAGUGAUGCCCAAGCAUGAAUCAGUAGACUCUAAACCUUUCUGAGGCCAUUUCCUCAUCUAUAAAAUUGGGUUGAUUAU